Molecule: long non-coding RNA, 1947 nt
Organism: Erinaceus europaeus (western European hedgehog)
Lineage: Eukaryota; Metazoa; Chordata; Mammalia; Eulipotyphla; Erinaceidae
Exons: 2
Source: RefSeq, a predicted model, not a curated record
UUUCUGGAAUUCUCUUACCUUCUAUUUAAUGCCCAGCCAGUUUUCAGCUAGGUGACAAGAAAGUUUAGAGGAAAUCUAGAAUUUGCAAAGGGAGGGAGACCAAACAGCAUCAGUGUGGCUCUGUUUGAAAUUCUCGAGCACCACCUCGUGCUGAUACACAAGUAUUCGGUCAGCAGAUGGUAGCAAGUUGCAGAGUCCCUUCACGGCUGGGUCAGCAAAGGGAUUCCGUGCUUUCCAUUUCGGGAAGACUAUCUGAAGUCUGGCUGAGCAAAGAAAGACGAGACAUGCAGAGAUGCAACCUUAGACUAAAUAUUGAACAAGACCAGCUAUAUCAUGUUUCAUUUGAUGUUAUAGAAACAGUUCAAUAAUGUACUUUUCCAUUAAGACGCACAAUACAAAUUAAUUGUUUUAUUAAAAAUAACUUAAAAUACAGAACAAUCCCCUUUAGGGAGAAAAGCUAUUUCUAUAGAUCAGUCAACAUACAAAUUGAACACUACAACUGAGGGCAUGGAGAAAAGAAAUGAGGCUUCUAGGGCCCACCUUUUCAGGACACAACUCCACUAUGGCUGAGAUGGGCCAAGUGGUAGGUCAAAAUCUGAAGAUGCUCUUCCUCCCACCAUUCCAUGCCUCAGUUCCAGGAACUUGUCAGGAUACCAGCCUUGUGCUGAUGGUGCACCACAGUAUGGCUGGCCUUAAAGUAGGGAGAGCAUCUCACUAGGUUUAAUCGAAUCACAAGAGCCCAUACCAAAGAAAAGCAAGACCGAGAUCUGCAGCGUAAGGAGGACUGGAAGGGCCUCUUUUGGUUUGAAGAUGGAAGGACUCACACAAGAAUGCAUUCCAGCAAUCCUAAGGAGCUAAGAGAAAAGAAAAGGGCCUGGCGCCUGCCAGUCAGGAACUAAACUCUACCAAUGACCUCAAUGAACUCAGAAGCAGGUACUUCCUAGAGCCUCCACAUAGGAGUGGUGCCCUGCUGACCCCUGACUUCAGCCUUGUGAGGAUUGUGAGUAGAAAACCCAACCAUACCAUGCAGCACUCACAAGCUACACAACUGCGUGCUAAUAAACGGUAUUACUUUAUGCUGUUGGAUUGUGGGUAAUUGGAAACAGCAACAGAAAGCCAUUUCAUUGCAGGAGGAUAACUUCAUUGGAUUUGGCAGUUUUUGUUUUUAGUUAGGAUUUUUUUUAACAAAUAUUAUUAAAAUUAAUAUUCUCCUUUGCAGGGAGAAAAAAAUUAAAAAAAUUCUGCUGCACCAAAGACUCUGGGGGAGGAGGGAAGGGAAGGAGAGGUACUGGAGCCUUCAUGCAUAACAGCAAGGGCCCUAAGAUGGGGCAGAGUGUUUCGCAGACACCUAUCAUGGGAGAUGAGAAACUGUGCCAUGUGUAAACAACUAUACUAUAGCAAACCGUUACCCACCCCCGCAAGAGUGAUUUAAAAAUCUUCCUAAGAAUUUACACUGUUUUGUAUUCUCUAGCAAGCAUGUUUGUCUAAGUCUUACUUUUCUAAUGUACUCUUGCCUAAAUAACUCACUUAACCCUGUUUGUGAACUUUACUUUGGACGAUGGUGGUAAUAAAUCCAGUCACCCCUCCAUUCAUCAAGGGUGUCAGAUCUCUCCAACUGAGGGUUCUUUCCAACCUCCCAGGUGAGACCCAGGGUAGGAUGGCAAAGUUCUCUAUCAAACAUCCAGUAUGAAUUUCUACUGUAUAACUGGGUUAGAUUAAAUUGGCACUAAGGUGACUAAGUACACUUGGGGGGGGGGGGGUGUAGAAUUCAAUCUUAAGAAAAUACAAAGAAAAAAAACCUCCACCAGUUUCUACAUGUAAAAUCAUGUUUGGGAUAAGCAUCCAAAUCUGAAAAUGUAGACUUUUUGCAGAAUUCUAUGCUGCUGUUCUCCUGUUAUCCUGGGUUUACUCAUGUUGAGUUCAACUUCACUGAGACAUGAAAACAUA